UCACCUGUUUAUCAAAAACAUUUCUUUAAGGAGUAAUUUAAAGUAAAACCUGCUCAAUGACAAGAAUAAAUAGCCGCAGUAUUACUGUGCUAAGGUAGCAUAAUAAUUUGCUUCUUAAUUAGGAGAUCGUAUGAAGGGUUAUACAUUAGAAUCCUGUCUCUUUUAACCAAAUAAACUUAAGUAAAAAGUAAAAACUCUUUUAACCAAAGCGGGACGACAAGACCCUGACAAACUUAACAUUUAGUUGGGGAAACAAAAUAAUAAAUAUUUAUUCAUAACCUAAACAUAACUUUAAAAUAAAAAUAAGACUAGUUACUGCAGGGAUAACAGCGUUAUUUCUUUUGAGAGCUCUUAUCUAAAAAGAAGAUUACGACCUCGAUGUUGAAUUAAUUCCGCUAUACAGGUGCAACAACCUUAUAAGGUAG
RNAcentral lists this ribosomal RNA (425 nucleotides) under Pholcus phalangioides (longbodied cellar spider). RNAcentral's name for it is "partial 16S ribosomal RNA". It matches the Rfam family "Bacterial large subunit ribosomal RNA", at positions 1794 to 2574 of the family's 2925-position model. Lineage: Eukaryota; Metazoa; Arthropoda; Arachnida; Araneae; Pholcidae. The record is from RNAcentral.